This is a long non-coding RNA of Mytilus californianus (California mussel), 1228 nucleotides long. RefSeq lists it as uncharacterized. The transcript is spliced from 4 exons. The record is from RefSeq and is a predicted model, not a curated record. Lineage: Eukaryota; Metazoa; Mollusca; Bivalvia; Mytilida; Mytilidae.
CCAUAAUUGUUAGAUAUAAUAUCUUUUCCAACUUUUUGUUAUUUUUAGCUUGAGUUUGUAACAACUUUUAAGAAUAUCUUUCAUGACAGUUGUUUUCUAUUUGUUUGAUGUGUUUGAGCUUUUGAUUUUGCCAUUUUAUAAAGGACUUUCCGUUUUGAAUUUCCCUUUGAGUUCGGUAUUUUUGUUAUUUUACUUUUUUCAAGUAGCAAAGUUGAUGAACAUCUUGAUGAAAAUAGAUUGAUUUUUGGUGUUUAACACCACUUUCAGCACGAUUGGGUAAAUCUUGGCUGCCAGUUUUUAUUGGUGGAGAAAAUCAGAGUGCAUGAAGAAAUCCUGACAAAAAACUUGCAACCUUAAUCAAUUAAGAUUGGAGUUGAACACAUGGUGAAAAUUAAAGUACUUUUAAUAUGUUAUUGAAAUAUGUUUGGAUUUUUUGUUAUUGAAUUUUUAAAAAAUUUUAAUGAUACUAUAUUUUGUAUUUUUGUUAAAUAUCAAGAAGGAUGCGGAGUCCCAACAGGGUGAAAUUUAGGGUAAAGGGAGGUAAUACCCCUGUUUAACUCUUCAUACUUGUAGGGAACAUACAUUUUUAUUUACUUAAAUAUUCAUAUUUUUAAAAGUUUGUUUUUGUUAAAUAUCAGAUGUUUACUAGCUAAAAUUGACUAUUAUUUAGAGCUCUGUAAAUAAAAAAAAUGUAAGCAGAGGUCUAGAUAAUAGAUUUGUAGGGUGGGAAAAUUCAUGGGUCACUACAAAUGAUUUGGUAAAAUUUUCAAAAAAAGUGAUUAUUUGAAAGUGCAUCUGAUAUUUUUUAUAUGUAUAACUAUAUUUUCUAAAAACAAAUGGACAAAAAUAUAGAUUGACAGUAAGAUAAUGAGGACAGCCAUCUUGGCACCCAGGAGAGCAGCUCCAUGGAAGAUGGUCAAUUAAAUCUUCAACCAAUUCUGAGGCUUUAACCUGAAAAUUAUGUAGUUGUUGUAAUUACAAGGUUUUCAUGGUGUUGGGAGUAAGACUUGGAUAUCUGACACUGUUAACAUGUUGGUUAGCAUCACAGCGUUUCCAUAGGGUUAUUUGCUGGGAUUAGUAAUUAGAGCUGUUUUAAGAUGAACGUGUUACUGUUGUUGCCUUGUAUGGUCAAAUCCUCAGACAAUAAUCCUGCAAACCUUCAGAUGAACUGUUGCUACCGUUUUAGUAGAAUCCAUAGACCGCAGUCUUGGAAGCAGAAAAAUGAAUU